This 341-nucleotide ribosomal RNA is filed under the name uncultured bacterium. Its description in RNAcentral is "bacterial SSU rRNA". It matches the Rfam family "Bacterial small subunit ribosomal RNA", at positions 8 to 339 of the family's 1533-position model. The record is from RNAcentral.
AGAGUUUGAUCCUGGCUCAGGACGAACGCUGGCGGCGUGCCUAAUACAUGCAAGUCGAGCGAAGUUAAGGGAGCUUGCUCCCAAGACUUAGCGGCGGACGGGUGAGUAACACGUGGGUAACCUGCCUGUAAGACCGGGAUAACUCCGGGAAACCGGAGCUAAUACCAGAUAAUCAACUGAGUUGCAUAACAAAGUUGUGAAAGAUGGCGCAAGCUAUCACUUACAGAUGGGCCCGCGGCGCAUUAGCUAGUUGGUAGGGUAAAGGCCUACCAAGGCAACGAUGCGUAGCCGACCUGAGAGGGUGAUCGGCCACACUGGGACUGAGACACGGCCCAGACUCC